CACCGCUAUCUUCCUCCAAAACACGAUAGGUCUUCGUCUUCGCCGUCUCUCCCCACCUGGGCCGCCGCCGCCUGUGCUCGUCGUCUCGCCAUCCCUCCCCACCUCCGCGUCAUCCUCGAAGACACAUCGUCUAGCCGGAGCUGUUCCCGUCGCCACCAAAACAGGGGAGAGGAUAUGGCGGGCUAGGGAAGUCCGUUGUGCUGUUGCAAGCCGGCCGCCAGCGCGUGCAGAAGCAGUUCCAGCCAAUUCUCCACAUCUCCGCUGUCGUGCAUCUCCACAGACGCUUGCUCAAGCUUGAUAUUGUUACUAUAUACCAAGAUGAUUGGAGGUCAAAUUGGUGGAGAUGAAUCAGACCAUGCAAGAUCAAAUUGGCUGUAAAUUACAGAGUUUGAAGCUAACAGAAUUUUCUCCAUUGGCCAUCCUCGUUAGAGAUCCUAGCUGCUGCUUCAUACUCCAGAUCUCCGUUGGCGAGAACAUCCCACAGACAAGAGAGGGGCUCCAAGAUCCACGCCGUCCGGCUGCCAUAGUCGAUCUCCUCCUUGUGAUCGGCCGAG
Lolium rigidum is the source of this 554-nucleotide long non-coding RNA. RefSeq lists it as uncharacterized. The record is from RefSeq and is a predicted model, not a curated record. The transcript is spliced from 3 exons. NCBI's taxonomy places the organism in Eukaryota, Viridiplantae, Streptophyta, Magnoliopsida, Poales, Poaceae.